AUCCGGCCAUGGGGAAAGAUCGAACAACAUAUGUGUUAUAGGAUACAAUGGGAAUCGGCUCAUAGGUGUGAAGGGUGGAAAUCACGGUCUGAUGAAGAGACUGGAAAGGUUCACGGAUCAUUGGAUCAUGCUGGAAAAGUGUGAGGCCAAACACUUAAGGUGGCCAAGCAGGACAAGAAGAAGCAGUGCGCCUUAGGGAUGCGCUCACAAGCGUAUUCAGUA
RNAcentral lists this long non-coding RNA (222 nucleotides) under Helianthus annuus (common sunflower). RNAcentral's name for it is "hypothetical non coding rna". Lineage: Eukaryota; Viridiplantae; Streptophyta; Magnoliopsida; Asterales; Asteraceae. The record is from RNAcentral.